This 186-nucleotide non-coding RNA is filed under the name Clostridiales bacterium. RNAcentral describes it as "6S RNA". It matches the Rfam family "6S / SsrS RNA". Rfam says of the family: E. coli 6S RNA was the first non coding RNA to be sequenced, but its function was unknown until recently. It consists of 184 nucleotides that fold into an extended hairpin structure with a large single-stranded internal bulge. The record is from RNAcentral. Lineage: Bacteria; Bacillati; Bacillota; Clostridia; Eubacteriales.
AAGCUCCUGAAGUGUGCGCCAAGGUCUUGUUUUUACCCACAUUUCGUAAAAUGGAGUUCGCGUUCGGUGCUUUAUGUCAGGCCCCCGUACCUUGUACGCCAGGGGAAGACAACGAGGUAUCGAUAGAACACCAGCCUGCUUAACAUAGCGGGUGAAAAAACGGAUACAGCGGCACUUUGGGACUUA